Molecule: ribosomal RNA, 272 nt
Filed under: uncultured bacterium
Lineage: Bacteria
Description: partial small subunit ribosomal RNA
Rfam family: Bacterial small subunit ribosomal RNA
Source: RNAcentral
AGAAUCAACGCUGGCGGCGUGCCUAACACAUGCAAGUCGAACGCGAAAGCCCCGCAAGGGGUGAGUAGAGUGGCAAACGGGUGAGUAACACGUGGGUGACCUGCCUUAGAGUGGGGGAUAACGUCCCGAAAGGGACGCUAAUACCGCAUAACAUCCUGCCUUUGAAGAGGUGGAGAUCAAAGCCGGGGACCGCAAGGCCUGGCGCUUCAAGAGGGGCCCGCGCCUGAUUAGCUAGUUGGUGAGGUAAUGGCUCACCAAGGCAACGAUCAGUA